AUGCUUGCUUCAGCAGCACAUAUAUUAAAAUUGGAACAAUACAGCGAAGAUUAGCAUGGCCCCUGCACAAAACUAACCUGAGAUAUCACCUAACCCCUG
This is a small nuclear RNA of Otolemur garnettii (small-eared galago), 99 nucleotides long. NCBI's taxonomy places the organism in Eukaryota, Metazoa, Chordata, Mammalia, Primates, Galagidae. The record is from Ensembl.